AAUAAGUGUAAGUUUUGCACUAUUUAUAUCCAACGUUUGACCGUUCAUCUUAUUUAAAUUUUUUUAUGAUUAGUAUUUUUAUGGUUAUUAGAUGAUAAAACAUGAAUAAUACUUUAUGUGACUAACUUUUUUAUAUUUUUUAAAUAAGACGGACGGUCAAACAUUGGACACAGAUACCCACGACUGCACUUAUU
RNAcentral lists this microRNA precursor (194 nucleotides) under Oryza sativa Japonica Group (Japanese rice). RNAcentral's name for it is "MIR812 microRNA precursor family". It matches the Rfam family "MIR812 microRNA precursor family". Lineage: Eukaryota; Viridiplantae; Streptophyta; Magnoliopsida; Poales; Poaceae. The record is from Rfam by way of RNAcentral.